CCCCUCUCAGGGUCGCAUCUGGAGAGUUUCCAGUAUUCUACCAGUAUCGGCUAUGGGAGAGAGAGUCAAGCAGAAGCUUAUCCAUUCCAUUCCUAGCUUGAGCAGUGGCUAGUAAGUGAAAGGCAAUAUGCUACAAGU
Small nucleolar RNA from Ornithorhynchus anatinus (platypus), 138 nucleotides. Lineage: Eukaryota; Metazoa; Chordata; Mammalia; Monotremata; Ornithorhynchidae. The record is from RefSeq and is a predicted model, not a curated record.